This 449-nucleotide ribosomal RNA is filed under the name uncultured bacterium. Its description in RNAcentral is "partial 16S ribosomal RNA". It matches the Rfam family "Bacterial small subunit ribosomal RNA", at positions 29 to 523 of the family's 1533-position model. The record is from RNAcentral.
AAUGAACGCUGGCGGCAUGCCUAACACAUGCAAGUCGAACGAAGGCUUCGGCCUUAGUGGCGCACGGGUGCGUAACGCGUGGGAAUCUGCCCUCAGGUUCGGAAUAACAGCGAGAAAUUGCUGCUAAUACCGGAUGAUAUCGCGAGAUCAGAGAUUUAUCGCCUGAGGAUGAGCCCGCGUAGGAUUAGCUAGUUGGUGUGGUAAAGGCGCAACAAGGCGACGAUCCUUAGCUGGUCUGGGAGGAUGAACAGCCACACUGGGACUGAGACACGGCCCAGACUCCUACGGGAGGCAGCAGUGGGGAAUAUUGGACAAUGGGCGAAAGCCUGAUCCAGCAAUGCCGCGUGAGUGAUGAAGGCCUUAGGGUUGUAAAGCUCUUUUACCCGGGAUGAUAAUGACAGUACCGGGAGAAUAAGCUCCGGCUAACUCCGUGCCAGCCGCCGCCGUAA